AGUGAACGCUGGCGGUAGGCCUAACACAUGCAAGUCGAACGGCAGCACAGUAAGAGCUUGCUCUUACGGGUGGCGAGUGGCGGACGGGUGAGGAAUACAUCGGAAUCUACUUUUUCGUGGGGGAUAACGUAGGGAAACUUACGCUAAUACCGCAUACGACCUACGGGUGAAAGCAGGGGAUCUUCGGACCUUGCGCGAUUGAAUGAGCCGAUGUCGGAUUAGCUAGUUGGCGGGGUAAAGGCCCACCAAGGCGACGAUCCGUAGCUGGUCUGAGAGGAUGAUGAGCCACACUGGAACUGAGACACGGUCCAGACUCCUACGGGAGGCAGCAGUGGGGAAUAUUGGACAAUGUGCGCAAGCCUGAUCCAGCCAUACCGCGUGGGUGAAGAAGGCCUUCGGGUUGUAAAGCCCUUUUGUUGGGAAAGAAAAGCAGCAGGUUAAUACCCCGCUGUUCUGACGGUACCCAAAGAAUAAGCACCGGCUAACUUCGUG
Molecule: ribosomal RNA, 492 nt
Filed under: uncultured bacterium
Lineage: Bacteria
Description: partial 16S ribosomal RNA
Rfam family: Bacterial small subunit ribosomal RNA
Source: RNAcentral